CAGCCGCCGCGGUAAUACGUAGGGGGCGAGCGUUGUCCGGAAUUAUUGGGCGUAAAGCGCGCGCAGGCGGUCCCUUAAGUCUGAUGUGAAAGCCCACGGCUCAACCGUGGAGGGUCAUUGGAAACUGGGGGACUUGAGUGCAGAAGAGGAGAGCGGAAUUCCACGUGUAGCGGUGAAAUGCGUAGAGAUGUGGAGGAACACCAGUGGCGAAGGCGGCUCUCUGGUCUGUAACUGACGCUGAGGCGCGAAAGCGUGGGGAGCAAACAGGAUUAGAGACCCUGGUAGUCCACGCCGUAAACGAUGAGUGCUAAGUGUUAGAGGGGUUAAACCCUUUAGUGCUGUAGCUAACGCGUUAAGCACUCCGCCUGGGGAGUACGGCCGCAAGGCUGAAACUUAAAGGAAUUGGCGGG
RNAcentral lists this ribosomal RNA (410 nucleotides) under uncultured microorganism. RNAcentral's name for it is "bacterial SSU rRNA". It matches the Rfam family "Bacterial small subunit ribosomal RNA", at positions 509 to 917 of the family's 1533-position model. The record is from RNAcentral.